GAUGAACGCUGGCGGCGUGCCUAAUACAUGCAAGUCGAGCGAACGGACGAGAAGCUUGCUUCUCUGAUGUUAGCGGCGGACGGGUGAGUAACACGUGGAUAACCUACCUAUAAGACUGGGAUAACUUCGGGAAACCGGAGCUGAUACCGGAUAAUAUUUUGAACCGCAUGGUUCAAAAGUGAAAGACGGUCUUGCUGUCACUUAUAGAUGGAUCCUCGCUGCAUUAGCUAGUUGGUAAGGUAACGGCUUACCAAGGCAACGAUGCAUAGCCGACCUGAGAGGGUGAUCGGCCACACUGGAACUGAGACACGGUCCAGACUCCUACGGGAGGCAGCAGUAGGGAAUCUUCCGCAAUGGGCGAAAGCCUGACGGAGCAACGCCGCGUGAGUGAUGAAGGUCUUCGGAUCGUAAAACUCUGUUAUUAGGGAAGAACAUAUGUGUAAGUAACUGUGCACAUCUUGACGGUACCUAAUCAGAAAGCCACGGCUAACUACGUG
RNAcentral lists this ribosomal RNA (497 nucleotides) under uncultured bacterium. RNAcentral describes it as "partial 16S ribosomal RNA". It matches the Rfam family "Bacterial small subunit ribosomal RNA", at positions 28 to 507 of the family's 1533-position model. The record is from RNAcentral.